GGGAAUGGGGCUCAGUGGUAGAGUGCUUGCCUGGCAUGCAUGUAGCCCUAGGUUCAAUUCCUCAGUACCA
This 70-nucleotide transfer RNA is filed under the name Dipodomys ordii (Ord's kangaroo rat). It matches the Rfam family "tRNA". Rfam says of the family: Transfer RNA (tRNA) molecules are approximately 80 nucleotides in length. Their secondary structure includes four short double-helical elements and three loops (D, anti-codon, and T loops). Further hydrogen bonds mediate the characteristic L-shaped molecular structure. tRNAs have two regions of fundamental functional importance: the anti-codon, which is responsible for specific mRNA codon recognition, and the 3' end, to which the tRNAs corresponding amino acid is attached (by aminoacyl-tRNA synthetases). tRNAs cope with the degeneracy of the genetic code in two manners: having more than one tRNA (with a specific anti-codon) for a particular amino acid; and 'wobble' base-pairing, i.e. permitting non-standard base-pairing at the 3rd anti-codon position. Lineage: Eukaryota; Metazoa; Chordata; Mammalia; Rodentia; Heteromyidae. The record is from Rfam by way of RNAcentral.